Molecule: ribosomal RNA, 505 nt
Filed under: uncultured bacterium
Lineage: Bacteria
Description: partial 16S ribosomal RNA
Rfam family: Bacterial small subunit ribosomal RNA
Source: RNAcentral
GACGAACGCUGGCGGCGUGCCUAAUACAUGCAAGUCGAACGCACAGUUUAUACCGGCGCUUGCUACACCAUAGACUGUGAGUUGCGAACGGGUGAGUAACGCGUAGGUAACCUGCCUGGUAGCGGGGGAUAACUAUUGGAAACGAUAGCUAAUACCGCAUAAUAUUAAUUAUUGCAUGAUAAUUAAUUGAAAGGUGCAAUUGCACCACUACCAGAUGGACCUGCGUUGUAUUAGCUAGUAGGUGAGGUAACGGCUCACCUAGGCGACGAUACAUAGCCGACCUGAGAGGGUGAUCGGCCACACUGGGACUGAGACACGGCCCAGACUCCUACGGGAGGCAGCAGUAGGGAAUCUUCGGCAAUGGACGAAAGUCUGACCGAGCAACGCCGCGUGAGUGAAGAAGGUUUUCGGAUCGUAAAGCUCUGUUGUAAGAGAAGAACGGGUGUGAGAGUGGAAAGUUCACACUGUGACGGUAUCUUACCAGAAAGGGACGGCUAACUACGUG